Molecule: ribosomal RNA, 491 nt
Filed under: uncultured bacterium
Lineage: Bacteria
Description: partial 16S ribosomal RNA
Rfam family: Bacterial small subunit ribosomal RNA
Source: RNAcentral
AGUGAACGCUGGCGGUAGGCCUAACACAUGCAAGUCGAACGGCAGCACAGUAAGAGCUUGCUCUUACGGGUGGCGAGUGGCGGACGGGUGAGGAAUAUAUCGGAAUCUACUUUUUCGUGGGGGAUAACGUAGGGAAACUUACGCUAAUACCGCAUACGACCUACGGGUGAAAGCAGGGGAUCUUCGGACCUUGCGCGAUUGAAUGAGCCGAUGUCGGAUUAGCUAGUUGGCGGGGUAAAGGCCCACCAAGGCGACGAUCCGUAGCUGGUCUGAGAGGAUGAUCAGCCACACUGGAACUGAGACACGGUCCAGACUCCUACGGGAGGCAGCAGUGGGGAAUAUUGGACAAUGGGCGCAAGCCUGAUCCAGCCAUACCGCGUGGGUGAAGAAGGCCUUCGGGUUGUAAAGCCCUUUUGUUGGGAAAGAAAAGCAGCAGGUUAAUACCCCGCUGUUCUGACGGUACCCAAAGAAUAAGCACCGGCUAACUUCGU